GAGUGAAGAAGGCCUUCGGGUCGUAAAGCUCUGUUGCGGGGGAAAAAAGGGACGGACAGGAAAUGGUCUGUCACUGAUGGUGCCCCGCCAGAAAGUCACGGCUAACUACGUGCC
This 114-nucleotide ribosomal RNA is filed under the name uncultured bacterium. RNAcentral describes it as "partial 16S ribosomal RNA". It matches the Rfam family "Bacterial small subunit ribosomal RNA", at positions 403 to 509 of the family's 1533-position model. The record is from RNAcentral.